This is a long non-coding RNA of Ochotona princeps (American pika), 443 nucleotides long. RefSeq lists it as uncharacterized. The record is from RefSeq and is a predicted model, not a curated record. Lineage: Eukaryota; Metazoa; Chordata; Mammalia; Lagomorpha; Ochotonidae. The transcript is spliced from 4 exons.
GAAGAAUCUCCAGGUUUCCAGCUCUGUCACUGCUUAGCUCUUGCCACUGUGGCAUCUGGAGAGGGAACCAUUCAGUAGUCCUGGUAUCUGGUGUUCUUGAGAGCCUGAUUUUAUAAUCUGGUCCAGCUUGCUAAAAAUGGACUAAAUGUUGGGUAAGAAACACAGGAAGAGAAGUGGUCUUGUGAAGAGGCAAAAAAGCCCCUUUUCCAGUCUGUUUUCCACGUUGGAACCACAAAUGGAGACAGAGGUGCUUGGCUUACUGAAUAGUUUGGAUUCUACGGUGGCCACAGAGGAAAGAGUUUGACUUUCCCUUCCACCAAUGCCUUUCAGACAUUCACUGAAAUAUGUUUUCUUCCCUACUGGGAGUCCAUCUUCAAAAAAACCAAGAGCCGUAAUGAGAGAUGAUCACUGGCUUGGGCUCCACAGUUCUUCUGGUGCAGGUA